This 106-nucleotide small nuclear RNA is filed under the name Octodon degus (degu). Lineage: Eukaryota; Metazoa; Chordata; Mammalia; Rodentia; Octodontidae. The record is from RNAcentral.
GUGCUCGCUUCAGCAGUGCAUAUACUAAAAUUGGAACGAUACAGAGAAGAUUAGCAUGGCCCCUGUGCAAGAAGAGAAUAGCAAAAUUUGGAAGCUGGAAAAUAGU